GGGGAUGAUUUUGGUUUCGACUCCGUUGAUCAAACCAGGGGAAGCGUGCCGGUGCAGGCUGGAGACCACCGUAAGCGUCGCAGCAAACAAUAAACGCAGAGAAGAACUCUCAGCGUGACUACGCCCUCGCUGCCUAAGUAGCGACCGCGUGUCUGUCAGGCCGGGCUUGUCCCCGUCCCGGUACCUGGCAUCGACUCAGGGGACUUGCCUUCCGGCCUUGUUGGUGGGGCGCGGAAGGGACUUUUUCCACCAACUGGGCCCGUCAUCCGGACAUGUUUGCCUGAUCCGGAGGGCCGAGUAGAGGCGUAGCGCAAACUGCGCACGGAGAAGCCCUGGUGCGGUGACGGAGGACCCGGGUUCAAUUCCCGGCAUCUCCACCG
RNAcentral lists this transfer-messenger RNA (380 nucleotides) under Corynebacterium timonense. RNAcentral's name for it is "Standard tmRNA". It matches the Rfam family "transfer-messenger RNA". Rfam says of the family: Bacterial tmRNA, also known as 10Sa RNA or SsrA, is named for its dual tRNA and mRNA-like properties. Its role is to liberate the mRNA from a stalled ribosome. The record is from Rfam by way of RNAcentral. Lineage: Bacteria; Bacillati; Actinomycetota; Actinomycetes; Mycobacteriales; Corynebacteriaceae.